CAAAAUAGUCAAUGCAGUAGAAACUCCUCUCUCCUUUGCAUUCUGAUGAAACGAGUGUUCUGGAGAACAAGAGGACCGGGAAUCAAUCCGUCCCCUUCCGUUUUCUCCGACUGAAUAUUGCUUCUGUUGGGGUCAGCUGCUGUCCCCGCAUUCCCAGGGUCCUCACAGAAGGGGGAUGUGCAGAGCGGAGCGAGGAUCAAGCUCCCUGGAGACUUCCGCCAUAAAAGUGUCUUCUCUCAUUUUCAAGCCAAUAUUUCAUUCAAAUCUCAAUCACAUCCAAAGACCCUGGAAAUAUUUGUAGGCUCGAAGCAUUGUGCCAGGAGUACCCAAUGGAUAAGACAACUUCAUCCCUCCAGCAGGACAACAGACCACAGGACCAGAUCUUCCAUGAGCGCAGAACUGGGAACUAGCAAAAGAUACUAGCCAGGGGGGACAAGAACAAGGGCGUGUGUAUGUGCGUACAUACAUAUGUGUGCGUUUGCUUCCAGUUAAUUUACCUCCUCUUUUUCUUUCUUUACUUCACUGUUACAUACAGCAUAUGUUUGUAGUGGCUACAUUUACCUUCUAAUCCACAGUGUGCAUCAUAUCCACAUGGUACUAUGACAGAACCAGAGGAAGCACAGGCUUUCCUCGACGUUCUGAACUUGGAGCCAGAUGCAUUUGUCAUGAGUUAUUGGGUGCUGAAUGAUGAGGAGGCUCAUCUUCAUUUGCAUAUGUAAUAGUGCUUCUUUAUUUCAGCAGUUCUGGAAUUGCUUGUACACAAAGCAGGAGGCCUGGUUGUUGGGCGGUCAAGGGUGGACUGCAAUGACUGCCUGUCGUGUUUGCUUGCCUGGCCUGGCCUUCAUUCUUCUGUCUUCUGAUACAGCAGCGCCAGUAUUGGUUGGGAACCUGCCCCCUCCUAUUGAAUAUAGUUUUGAAAAAACUCUAGGUGAAAAUGUUCCCCCUCUCCUGCCAAGGGCUGGGGAUAUGACAAGUUAGAUGGAGCAAACACUCUCUCUCUGAAAUUGGAAUUCUUAGCAGAAUUACACAAACGUUUCAAAUGGUGGAGCUGGGCUAUCCAGGUGGAAAAGCCUGAUGAAAUUGUCAUUUUGUUCCUCUUUCCUAGGUCCUUGUUCUUGUUCACCUUCCACUUUGAUCCUACGAACUACUUCAUAGCCUUCUA
Molecule: long non-coding RNA, 1162 nt
Filed under: Equus caballus (horse)
Lineage: Eukaryota; Metazoa; Chordata; Mammalia; Perissodactyla; Equidae
Description: lncRNA (ENSECAG00000059756.1)
Source: RNAcentral